AAUCAACGCUGGCGGCGUGCCUCAGACAUGCAAGUCGAACGAGAAAUCCCGAGCAAUCGGGAAAGUAAAGUGGCGCACGGGUGAGUAACACGUAGGUAAUCUACCUUCGGGUGGGGAAUAACCCAGGGAAACUUGGGCUAACACCGCAUAAUGCAGCGGCACCACAUGGUGACAGUUGUUAAAGCGGGGGAUUUUAGGACCUCGCGCCUGAAGAGGAGCCUGCGGCGGAUUAGCUAGUGGUAAGGUAACGGCUUACCAAGGCGACGAUCCGUAGCCGGCCUGAGAGGGCGGUCGGCCACACUGACACUGACAUACGGGUCAGACUCCUACGGGAGGCAGCAGUCGGGAAGUUUU
Molecule: ribosomal RNA, 354 nt
Filed under: uncultured bacterium
Lineage: Bacteria
Description: bacterial SSU rRNA
Rfam family: Bacterial small subunit ribosomal RNA
Source: RNAcentral